CUAGCUUUAUAAUGCAGCCCACACCAUAUAAAUUGAGCCCCUCCAAGGAUUUAAGUGAAUAGGAUGACCAGUAUCUAUCACGCAACUAUUCUUCCCACUCCAUGGAAGGAGGUAUUUCUGCAGAACAGGACCUUGUUUUGGACUAAAUACAUCCUGCAGUGGAUAUAUGCCCUUCCUAAGUGGAAUAUCCUGUUUAUUUUGAUGGCCUCACUUUCUUGUAUAAGGACAAGUUGCCCACACAAAAGUUGGCCGGAUCAACUGCUUGCCAUAACCCAGCCUGCUUUAAUGUCCUUGAGCACCGCAAGGAUUUUUUUUUGAAUCAGGAAGUAUAAAUUCAAAUGAAGAACAUGGCUUAAGCAGAAGCAAGAUCUUUUAAGACCCAGCAUUGGACUUUUCCUUGAAGAACGUACAUUGAGAUUGCAAGUGAGUGGAGUAGGAUGGUCUUUUUGUUCCCUUUGUACAGCACCUAACGCAAUGGUGCCGAAGCCAUGGAGAGAGCUCCUCAGUGGCAUCAAGCAGCUACAGCAGUGCUGGUGCCUGGAGACAUCCGUCUGUGUCUAUGAAAGAACUUGUCUUCUUUCUCGCCUCCAUCCUUGUCCCUGGAUUGGACUAGCAACCUGUUUCAGUUCGUGCUUUCCAUUUAGGCUACGCUUGGUUUCCACUUGAUCAGACGCUUGGUUUCCACUUGAUUGGAAACAAGUGUGCUGAAAGCUGUCUGCUCUUUCUUCACUAUACAAUGUGGACUGCUGCCUGGCUCCAGUCUGGAAACAAUUAUUUCCCUCUUGUACCUACUCAUUCUGAAAAGUCAGAGACUUAUCCCUAGACUUUUUUUUCCUCUUUCCACUUUUGUUAGCCGAUUCCUUCAUAAAGAAAAGCUUGUUGUUCUACAUAAUGCCCACAGAACAGCUCUAGCUCUAGCUCUGGACAUCACAUAUUUCUGUUAUAUGACAAAAAUACUGCCAUAUUUUAAGGUCAGGUCUCCCUUGGGGAGUUUUGUAUCAGUACAUGUGCCACACUGCUCCUUUGUCCUGUUCUGAUAGGAUUAAUAUCUGAUGGCGUUUGAAUUUGUGGGACUUUAAGAAAGGGCUUGAAGUACCUGUUGUGGUUAGGCUGCUGUAAAUACUCUUCAAUAACCCCAAAGAACAGUCAAAACAUCCACACAUAGAUGUGCAGUAGUGCUUGC
RNAcentral lists this long non-coding RNA (1183 nucleotides) under Athene cunicularia (burrowing owl). RNAcentral's name for it is "lncRNA (ENSACUG00000004426.1)". Lineage: Eukaryota; Metazoa; Chordata; Aves; Strigiformes; Strigidae. The record is from RNAcentral.